Molecule: non-coding RNA, 96 nt
Organism: Armillaria borealis
Lineage: Eukaryota; Fungi; Basidiomycota; Agaricomycetes; Agaricales; Physalacriaceae
Source: the annotation of a GenBank genome assembly
UCCUCCAUAGAUUAGUGGUAGUUCGUCUUGCUUAUGUCCGAAUUUCAUGUGAUGGUUGGUGACAAGCAGGUGUCGGUUCGAUUCCGAGUGGUGGUG